Long non-coding RNA from Acipenser ruthenus (sterlet), 1564 nucleotides. RefSeq lists it as uncharacterized. The record is from RefSeq and is a predicted model, not a curated record. The transcript is spliced from 4 exons. NCBI's taxonomy places the organism in Eukaryota, Metazoa, Chordata, Actinopteri, Acipenseriformes, Acipenseridae.
AGAAGGGGUGCGCUGCUUCCAGGCAGUCAUAAAGAGUGAGUGCAGAGACGAGUGUAUUUUGUUGUCGGGCAGGUAAACGGCUUAGCCGUCCUGUGGGUUAGUUAGGUUCUCUUUUGUUUAGUCAGUGCUCUAAAAGGAGCUAGGUGUUUGGUUUAUUUUGUGUUUUUGUUUGUAUUAAUAUAAGUGUGUGUAAGCGCUGAACCUCCUAUUUUUUGUGUUUGGGUCAAAAGUUACUAUUUUGUACAAAGACAAAUACUGUACAAAGAAGGAACAAACCUUUGAUGCUACAAAAGAAACGGUGGAUAUGAGUGACCUGAUUUUUUGGACCCAUGUAAGCAGACAUCCCCAACUUUCGAGCUAUCAAAAGGAUUUUUGGAUGACGCCCUAGUUUGUGUCUAAGUCAGUGAACAUUCCUGUCUAUGUUAACGCCAAUCAGCAACAGUCAAGACUCGAAUCAACCCGGGAGCUGAAGCUAUGGAGCCAGCACUAACCCCGGGAGCAUUUACCCCUGCACACGACCACAACCCAGGAGAGCGUCCGCUCUGCAGGAACUGUAAGACGGUACUCGUGAAGGCAUUGCCCAGCCAAGGCUGUGUGAAGGCAGGAGUCGCCUACCCUAGUGUCAGCACUUGUGUUGAAUUAAUUCUGCACACUUGUGUGGUGUGUCAACACCCAAUGCUCUGUGUCUGCCUCAUUAUUAAUCAGUGACAACUCACACACAUGACAAACCCCCCUGUUACAGCAUGUAAUAACAACAUGCGUGUGACAGUUCAGCAUAACGGUAUAUGUCCUCGUUCUGCAAAGAAAUCGAGAUGGAUUUGUUACCCAACAAUCACAAAUAAACACUGUAUGUAUUUUAUAUAGAAAAAUAGGAUAAACCAUAUGCCCCUAUCUUCAGAUAUGCAGUUGCCUCAUGUUACUUUUUUUCUUUGUUACUGAACCAGAUUCCCUGCUGUUCCUGCUGCAUUAGGUUUGUAUUGCUCUCAAGAGGAAUUUAAGAAGUUAUAUAGUUUCAAGCUAGAGAACAAAAAAGUGAACACAUCAGAUUUUACAUCUCCCUUGCCAAGUUUUCCAAUGAGUUGGAACAAUUCUUUUAAAAUUCCUUUUUUUUUUUUUUUCAGACUUUGUGAUUUCUUAUGGGACUUAUAGUUUUUGUAAGAGUGCAGACAUAAUCAUUUGUUUAUUGAGAUUCCCUAUUUGCGAAAUUGAUUGGAAUUCAGUGCCCUCAGGACAACUGGCAAGAGUUUUGGGUUUUUCUUUCAGGUCCUGCUACUAAGAGAUCUUUUGAUCAUUAGUUUAAACAAAAACAAGGGAUGGCAGCUGGUAUGAAUUGGUUUCGAGUACCCACAUCUCAAGCAUGUUAAGUGUUUUUCUACAGGCUACUGAACAUGUUAUUCUUGUAUAAUAACUCUGUUCAAUCACGAUUAAUAUACAUUUGAGAAAAUAAAGAAUGCAUUGCUUUAAAUUUCACAAAUGUACUUACAGUUCCAAUAUCUUUGUAUGAUGUUUGCAAUUAUUCCAAGUGGUUCUCAGUUUUAUUCUUUUUUUUUUACAUAGAUGACGG